UACGUAGGGGGCUAGCGUUGUCCGGAAUCAUUGGGCGUAAAGCGCGUGUAGGCGGCCCGGUAAGUCCGCUGUGAAAGUCGGGGGCUCAACCCUCGAAAGCCGGUGGAUACUGUCGGGCUCGAGUACGGAAGAGGCGAGUGGAAUUCCUGGUGUAGCGGUGAAAUGCGCAGAUAUCAGGAGGAACACCAAUUGCGAAGGCAGCUCGCUGGGACGUAACUGACGCUGAGACGCGAAAGCGUGGGGAGCAAACAGG
RNAcentral lists this ribosomal RNA (253 nucleotides) under uncultured bacterium. RNAcentral's name for it is "partial 16S ribosomal RNA". It matches the Rfam family "Bacterial small subunit ribosomal RNA", at positions 524 to 776 of the family's 1533-position model. The record is from RNAcentral.